GACAGAGGGUGCAAACGUUGCUCGGAAUCACUGGGCGUAAAGGGCGUGUAGGCGGGACGGUAAGUCGGGCGUGAAAUCCCUAGGCUCAACCUAGGAACUGCACUCGAAAACUACCAUUCUUGAGUGUCGGAGAGGAAAGCGGAAUUCCUGGUGUAGAGGUGAAAUUCGUAGAUAUCAGGAGGAACACCUGUGGUGUAGACGGCUUUUCUGGACCAUAGCUGACGCUGAGACACGAAAAGCGUGGGUAGCAAAACAGG
Molecule: ribosomal RNA, 257 nt
Filed under: uncultured bacterium
Lineage: Bacteria
Description: partial 16S ribosomal RNA
Rfam family: Bacterial small subunit ribosomal RNA
Source: RNAcentral